UUAAAAGAAGAGGAGAGGACACACAGACAGCACACACAGAGGACAACAUAAUAUGAAGAAGUCACGAAAUACCAAGAAUUGCUAAUAACCACCAGAAGAUAAUUUACAAGUUUCCAAGAAAGAGAGAGAGAAAAAAAGUGGUUCUUCUAUUCAAGAUUUAAGAGUGUCAUGAUAGUACAAACAUAUGGAAAAAAAAAAAAAGCAAUGUGCUGAGAAGUGAAAAGGCUAAUCUACGCACAGGAAAUUACAUAUAUACCGUGAUUGCAGAGAGAAAAGUGUACCUAAAUAUGUGAGGAAGAGUCCGUUGGAUUUUCACAGGUUGAGUUCUUCACACUGGAUGGCCAACUUGACAAAGCAGAAGGAGAAGUAUUUGCAAAGGUCAUGUUCUCGUGGUUCCUGAGUUUAAGCCCCCUG
Molecule: long non-coding RNA, 414 nt
Organism: Suricata suricatta (meerkat)
Lineage: Eukaryota; Metazoa; Chordata; Mammalia; Carnivora; Herpestidae
Exons: 3
Source: RefSeq, a predicted model, not a curated record